This 759-nucleotide long non-coding RNA is filed under the name Bos taurus (domestic cattle). RNAcentral's name for it is "long non-coding RNA NONBTAT024544". Lineage: Eukaryota; Metazoa; Chordata; Mammalia; Artiodactyla; Bovidae. The record is from RNAcentral.
UGAAGAAACAAACAUUCAACAAUUGCUCUCCCCAAAAAUGAAGCUCCCAGAGACAAAAGAAUGGCACGUCACACUGUACAUCGCACCUUGCAAUAAAUCAAUAUUAAACUACACUGAUGCCAUUUAACAUGCUUUUGUCCAAGUAAACAUAAUUUUUGUUUUCCUUGACUCUAAAUCUCACAGGAAUUACUCAGCACUUCAAAUGAAGAUAAAGUUUGCUUGCUUUUCCUGAAAAGUACUUAGCAGUGAUUUCUAUAACUUACUAAUAAUCUACAGUUAUAUCCGAAAAUGAAUGAUGAGGACAGAACUUGGCGACCUGAGUAGAGCAUAUCUGGCUGUCAGUGAUAUCUGGACACCAGGACUGUCUUAAAUUGAUGAAGGUAAAGAGCGACUGACUGGAAGCCCACCUCAAGGAGACAAGUCUUAGCUAUACUGGUCUCGAUAAUACAUGCUCAUUAAUAACUUACGUGUCAUUUGCUAUAGAUUUGCCAUGCUGUAAUAUUCAGCAUAGCACAUGAAAAAAAUCAACAUUCGAAAAACAUAUUAGACAUUUCUGUAUUGAAUACUUAUAGAGGAACAAUUAGUAAUUACAGUUUCAAGUCUUUGGCUUUGACUUGUUUUGACUUUUGCCCUUCUUCAAGCAUAAUCUCCAAGAGCUGAUCUGAAGAAAAACAUGAAAAUGUAUAAAAACUUCCUAUUUGUAGCAGUAAGAUAAAAAGUCCUGUCAAAGAACAACUUGAAAUUAUCUAUCUUGAAUUU